UCUUUCAGAAUGUGAUACCACCUCAUAUCCUGUUGGGAAGGGGAAGGUAUCUGCACUCAAGGCCAUGAGAGUUGUACCUGGCAAGCUUCUCCACUGUAUUGGAGAGGCAGAAGCCACAGAUUUACAGAUCACCAAAGCAACAAGGACUUUCUUUCUGGCUCUGUACAAUCAGAGGAACUCUGUGACCUUGGAUGCAGCUCGGUAUGACAUAUACCGAAAGCGCAAAAGGCCCCUAGCACUGAAUACACUACCUCCUACAGAGCGUAAUAUAUUAUGUUGUAAUAUGUAAUAUGGAAGACGUGCCCACCUACAGGUGCUCUUAUGGAAAGCAGCAGACCAGGCUGAUCCACCAGCUGUGGAUGUCACUUUGUUUGGAUGGGACAAGAAGAUGGGCCUAAAGGAAGGAGAGGAACUGAUUAUGCCCACCCAGGAUUCAAGUCCAGUUGCUCCUCUGGCUUUGUUAGAUGUCGUUCGAUCUUUUAUGGCCCAGCCCAGUGAUGUCACUCUGGGCUCAUGAGGCACCCACAUGAUUGUCUCGUCCACUCUGUACUCAGUAAUAACCCAUGACUUCUUGUAAAAUCCCCUCUAACAGAACUUCUGCAUUUCUUGAUCUGCUGACACAUCUCAACUGUCUAACUGCCUUUAGCACAGUGCGUUCUGUCCCUGCCUGACAUUUGAUACAGAACACUUCAAAUGUAUCUUACACAUGUGGUUGGUAGUUACGAUGCAUACCGGUGCCCAGCAGCUUUUGAGGUAGUUUAACCGCGUUUAGUGGGUGUGCCAGAGGUGAUACCCAAUCACCAUCAAAGUGUUUACAUUGUGACUCUGGUGACAUCUGUUCACCCUAGCCACCUCACAAGCAGACUGGCCUUCUCAGCUUCACCGCUCACAUGAGGCAACAGGGUGUUUAACCCCAAGGAGUUUAUUGCAAUCGCAAUGCUUUUUCCUCAAAAAAUGCAAAUUUGAAUCAGGAGUCAAGUAUCAGGAGGGGAUUCAGCUUCACUACACCCUGAAAAAAAUGCUUUAACAUUCACAAGAGCACUCAUGAUUCUGAAAUAUAAGAUUAUUGUGUUUACCAUGAAAAUAACCUUAGAUUUCGUCCAAAAUGAAUAACAAAUGUCUCUAAAUGUAUCCAAAUGUGUUAUUCACUUACCAUUUUAAAGUAUGAAAGUGGCAGAAUUUAAUUCAGCAUCCUCUAAAACCUCUAAAAAGACUCCAAUAUUGUAGGAAUUGACUACAUACAGUGCAAAAUAUGUGGUCAAAUUGGACGAUUAAGCUAAUAAUGCUAAUUAUGCAAAUUACUCAACAUAUGCAAAUUAGCAUCCGGCAGUUUCUGUAUACUGGGGACCUAUACUUCACAUUUCUGCAAAAAACGUUGGUGUACUCAACAUUUCCGGGUUCACCUAGUUGGCUACUAGACUAUGUUGUAGGCUAGUGGUCAUCAGCUCGAAGGCGAUGAUGAGCUAUAUGACAAGGCAAAACGUCUGUCUGACCACUACAAUAGGGACAUAGCAAUAACGUUUCCUGCACAACUCCUAUCAUUCAGGGCCUGUUUUAGAGCAGAGAUUGCUCAGCAGUCCUGUCUCCCAACUUGCCAAGAUGGAUUAUCACUCCGACUAUCGUAUCUUCUCAUCACACGAUAAAACAGAGACUUGACAUUGGACAACAAGAUAUAUAUUACCCAGCAAUCAUCAUUGCAUAUCUGUGUAUGACAACAAUACCAAAGAAAAUAAGAAAUUAUUCAUUUAAUUGAACAGUUUUUUUUUAUAGUUUCCAUAGUUUAUGUAGGAUAAUGUAAUUGUGUUAUAGAUUGCUACUGACUAUUUCCCUCCUCCAAAAUAAUGAAAACCAUGACAGAUAGGUUUGCCAUUUCGAGGGAAUAUAUUGCAUAAGGUAUCCUUGACCAUAUAUUAUUAUUUCAUCUUUGAUCAAAGGCGUGUUAACAUAGCGACACUGUUACACACUUCAGAGAAACACAUAGUUGGUGGGUCCGCUUUACGCACAGGCCUCAAUGCAACCGCACUGCCUGCACUGACUAUAGUUAUUUAUAGCAUGUGGUACCAUGAUGAUGUGAAUGCAAAGCAAGCGGAAGUGAGCAGGGGAAGGGCGUAAUGACUAGAAAGACUAAUAGAAAAAAAACACAAAUAUCCGACGAGGCAAAAUCGUAGACGUCGUGACUUCUGAGAUGUCGCAUAUGUUUAUUUAAUUAAAUUGCUUAGAUUCAGCACUUCGUUUUCAGGUAAGGCGCUCUUUACAUCUACAUAGGGAAUGAUAAUAAUAAAAAUACAUUUUAUUUGUAUAGCACCUUUCAUACAAAACAAUGCAGCUCAAAGUGCUUAGCAGCAAAGAAAUUACGUGGAGAGAAAUGACAUGCACAGUGAUCCACAUAAAAAUAGACAUAAAAUAAACAUAAAACAUCAACAUACAAACUGCGAUUAAGUGCAUAAACAUAAAUAAAGUUAACAUACAAACAUAAAGAUAUACAUAAAUUACAUAACAUAAGACAUAUAAUGAAUAAAACUGCGGAGAUAUAGUUUAUCUAUCCCCUUUAAAAUGAUAUAUCAUUAUAGCUAGUCAAAGGCUAAAGUGAAGAGAUACGUUUUUAGCUUUUUUUUUCUUUUUUUUUUAAAUAGCGAGCUAGCUUCCAUGAUAUCUAAAGGCAGUGUGUUCCAUAGCUUUGGGCCGUAAUUGACAAUCCCCGAUUUUCUUAUGGCUGUUGCUGGGAACCUCCAAUAAACCAGCAUUAGAUGAUCGCAAUGUUCUUGAGGGCAAGGGAGUUUGCAAUGUAACUUGGUCCUUUUUUAUUUAUAAAUCUACUUUAGCUAUCUAAGGUGGAAAACGAUGUUUUCGUCAUCUUGUUAAUGUGGGACUUGAAGAUUAGAUCUGAAUCAAAGAUAACACCAAGACUUGUAACCUGGUAGUGAGUUGAAGUGAGUCGAAGCUUGUAUUAACCACUUGAACAACUUCCCGCCUGAGUUCCCUAUCGAAGUGUAAUACAUUUAUGUUAUCGGAGGAGUUAAACAUAGCCUACACAAACACAGAAUACACUUUUACUGUUUAUUACAAGUUAUAGUCAAUACAUAAAACCCAACCACCCAUAUUUACACUACCCCAAACACAACUGAGCCUCUCUAUGGGCGACAUAAACUAGGGGAGGGGACUGGCCAUUAACCCCGGCCUGGGGCUAACUCAAACACGCGAUCACACAAUAGUCCACAGAAGGUUAGGGCUUCUCUUCCUAAAGUGCUGCCAAGCGUUCUCUCCCGCGCCCAGAUUCAGACUGUCUUUUACAUCCUACUCCAGGAACAAUCAUACAUCCUUAACAGGCAACAGGUGUCUCACCCACCUGCAGCCGGUCAUAAUUAAUCCAUUGGCGGGGCGUGCCCACUGCGGCCAGUAAACAGAGUUAAUUAGCCUACAGAAGGCUUGAAGCUUGAAGGAAAAGACGCCACUCGUGACUUUCGAAGCCACGUUUUAGAUUAGAUGAUUAGAUUAGAUUCAACUUUAUUGUCAUUGCACAGAGUGUAACUAUAAAAUAGGGGAUAUGUGAAUGGAAUGAAACGCAAAAGGACUGUAUUACUGGUAAAUGAAAUAGGUGACAAUCGCCACAGGUCUGUCCGGUUAGAACAAGAAUGAUGUCAAUGUCCCAAUGAUGACAGAUGUAAUGAAGUAUUUAUUGCACACACACUCUCAAGCCUUGAAUGGCGGGAUGGACAUGACUGCAUGAAGAUGAACGGUGAAUACGAUUAUCUGUGUAAAGGACUCGUAUUCACACAUGAAUCCGUGAACCGUGAAUGAUAGACAUGAUUCCGUGUUUGAACGAUGAUUGAGUUAUCCGUGGUUUCUAUGGAAUGACACAAUAGGUGGGUUUCCAUCCCAUGUUUUAAUGCGCAUUUUCUCUAUGCGAAUAUUUAAUCCUGGUUGGAAACGCGUGCGAUGCGCAUUAACUUCCCCAAUGCGCAUAGAAAUUCGAUUCGCCAGAGGGAGGUGGUUUAACUAGCUAUUCGAAUGUAGUUAAUGCGCUCAACGUAGAUGGAAACAGUUUAUUCGAGCGAUUCGUGUCAUUUGUGUUUAUGUUUAUGUUCGGAGUUGGACUGUAGACUAUGUCCUGUUGCAGUGAGAGACAACCGUACUGCUGACUGCCCCGAAUGUGAUGCUCCUACUGCUUCUCAGACUGCCAGCUAAUACACCAUACCUCAUGCAGCAUAUGCAGUUGCUGUUAUAUACUAGUAUAAUAUAUCUAUGUUUUCUGUGUGUUGUUUCCCCUCAUUGCCCAUGGACACCUAGUUUAUUGUAGGCUAACCGAUUAACUUGAUUUACGAGCAAACUUUAAAGGGAUAUUGUUUAACUGUAGCCUACCUUUAUUAUUAGGCUAUCAUUAUUAUUAUUAUUAUUAUUAUUAUUAUUAUUAUUAUUAUUAUUAUUAUUAUUAUUACUACUACUACUAUCAUAUCAAAUUAAACAAAUGGUUAAAAAACCUUUAGCUUACCUGAAAAUUCAGGAGGAGGCGAACACAGCAUCGUGCGCGCUACCUGGUGUUCCAACACAGAGAUCUCUAAAUAUCAAUUUAUCAUCAACAAGGGCUUGAAGAGUUGUUGCGGUCAGCAAUCUCUUGCGCCUCGCCAAGGUCGAGUAACUUUGUAUGUUGUUUGGCUUGUUCACGGAUGGCAAAGCAUACAGCAUACACACAUCUAUGGCCAGUAGUCUUGCUUACGCAGUGCCUCACCUCAGAUUGCGCAAUCCCUCACAAACUGGGUUUAGCGCAUGCGUCUCGUAUGUUUUUCUAUACUUAAACACCAGUCUCCGGUUAUCAGUUCAUAUCGACCUCACAAUAUAUAUCUAUAUAUAUUUCAGAUGUGGGUAAAGCUGCUGUGUGUGCCGCCACAACAAAUCGUGCUUUUCAUCAGUGUUUUUAAAGAACCUUUCAGCACUUUGACCGUCUGUUUACCGUGGCUGCGGCAUAGCUGGUGGCAUGGGAGGAAUGAUGCUUUUUCAAGUGCUUGUUCCACUGCUAUUGGUUGCCACAGCAUCAUCUUCAGAAGAUAAAGUGUUUGUCCUGAAAGGAGGGUCCAUCGUGUUGCAGGCGGAGCAAGUGACUAGGGUUUCCUCUAUCAUCUGGAAACACAACAAGGAGAAAGCUGCAGAAUGGUUUGAGGGCGAUGAUGCGCCAACCUAUUAUAACAUAUUUCAAUAUGUAGCUACACUGGAUGAGCAAACCUGGGCCUUGACCAUCUCAGACCUCCAUCCACGUUUUAAUGGGAAAUAUUCAGCUGAGGUGAACAACAAGGACCCAACUCAGUUUGUGACCUUAACUGUACUUGGGCCAGUUUCAAAACCUACAAUCACCAUGGACUGCAUUGAUACCCUCUGCACCCUGACCUGCGAGGGACGGGAAGAUGGAUUCACAACAUACACCUGGGCUAAUGGCAUUGAAGAGUGGCCUGGAUCUGAACUGACUGUGGAGAAGAUAGACCAUGAUGUGGUCCACACCUGUAACUUCAGUAAUCCAGUGAGCUGGGCAUCCAGCAACGGGACAGUCAAACAUGUACCGCCUUCACCAGUUCCAGGACUUGGUCUAGCUAAUGGAGUAAGAAUUGGAGUAGUAAUUGCAGUGUUAAUUAUAGGUUCAUGUAUUCUACUUCAGCUGGUGUUAAAAAAGCAAGGAAACAAAAAUCAACCUGAAGCUAACCAAGAUCCAUCACAUGAUGUUGUGACAGAAGUGCAGAACAGUUGUUUGUAUGUCACGAGAGCAGAAGGAGCGUGAUGGAGGUGAGGAAAAUCAACAACUGCCAAACACUGGUAUGUAAGACGACAAAGGAACCUGAAUAUUUACAUAGUAAUUAUCUAUUACCAUAAGGCAGCUAGAGUUCCUCAUGUACUGUCUUUUUCCUCCCCAUUAGUAAGUUGCAGUGAAGACAUACUAUAUACAGCGUCUUCAGCAUGUCACUAUCUGUGUUUGAAGUCAAAUAAUGUCUCUACAUCAUGUUAGUUUACAAAAAAAGACUGGUGUUGAUAUUUGUUUUGUUUUGUUUUUGUAGUUAAUGUGGGGUUUUCGCUGUCUACAUGGCAAGUUAUUCAAGCAAAUGAAUGCCUAGGUGUUAAUUGGAAAUUUUACAGAAUAUAUUGCCAUUAACAGAAAACACUGUCAGGUGGCACUGUUUAAAGUCUAAAUCAAUGUUUGCAACUUUGGUAGCAUAAUAAUAGUAACAUUGACAACAAAAACAUAUUUGUAAAGGUUUUAAAACUGCAAGUGUAGUGUAUGAAUGAGCCAGUAGAUGGCCAAGUGAAUGUUCUCUGUUCAUUGUGUGAAGAGAUAUUUAGUUUUAUACAUACUGCAAAUGUUCUCUGUUCAUUGUGUGGAGAGAUAUUUCGUUUUAUACGUACUUUGUGAGAAGAGAUAUUUUUAUACAUACUUUGUGAGAGAUAUUUUGUUUUUAUACUUAUUUUGUGAAAAGAAAUAUUUCGUUUUAUACAUACUUUGUGAAAAUAGAUAUUUAGGUUUAUACUUUGCAAGUUUUUUUCUCAUGACUGGAGUGUUUGUACAUUUGAGGCGUAAAAUGAGUCCCACCAUUUACUGUAACAGUCAAGAAUAUUAAUUGUAUUGUAUAUUCUGAUGCACCUCUGUCUUGUGACGUUUGUGUGAGCUGAUGGGCAUUGUUUGCCUCCUGACCCCCCCUCACUCUCCCAUGCCCCUCUCCCUUCUCCUGGGCACAGGUCAUUCUGGGGUCACACCUGGCCACAUUUUAGGGGUGAAAUCUAUUUAGUGAGUAGAGGGCGUCAGCACAUUGGGGGUUGAUAUCAUUUUAAUGGCCUGUGUGAGUAGGCCUAUAAGGGUCACAGUUGUUGAACAAUAAGUUGGAUCUUUAAAAGGUCUCCAGAAACAUGCGGAAAUGUCCUUUAUAAGGUCUCCAUUCCAGUGACACUCCCACCUGGGGUCAAAACAUGUCCUACUCCUUGCCACUCGGAUAAGGAGAUGGCCCCAUUGGUCAAAGGUCCUUAGAUGUGUAAAUAGGUUAUUUAUGCAAAUUUCCAUUUGUCAUGUAAUUUAAGAAUGCAUUUUUUUUUGGUUGUGUAUUAUUACUAGAAGUAUUGAAUCUUUAUGCUUUUAUUUUUGACUUAGCUUAAUCAUUGCGUAAUCAUGUUAGAAAACAUCUUUGAAUUUGCAAUGCGUGAAUUGUGUGAAUGCCUGUAAGUGGCUCCUUUGUGAACUCAGAUACAGUAAAUCCUUGUAGUAAAUUCUAAGAGAGACAUAACAUUAUUAACUAUCACUCUGGUAAUAUCUAGCCACGACUGCAACAGCAGUGGUGAAUAAAUAACUGGAGUCAGAUUGGUCAAGAGAUAGUUUCACCAUCUAAGCAGUCUCACCUGGGCACCGGAUAAGACAGUUAUACAUUGAACCUUUGGCCGUUAGUCUGGUCUCCACACCUGGGCCAACAGCGGCUUCCUCCACAAUAUAACAGAUGGAUUUUUAAAUAUAUAAAUUACUGUAUUACUUUUGGUCAGAAAGUCUUGUCUGAGGCAUGGUAAGAUAUUUUAUUGGGUUACUCACAGUAGACAACAGAUCUGUGUAGUUUAGGUAGACUACAUGAAAGUACAUCAAUGAUACCUACAGUAGGAUGAAAGUUAGAUGAUCAGUUCUUACUGGAAAAAGGGAAAAGGUGCCCCGUUGCUGUUGUUGUUUAAUAUGAUGCUCUAUUUUUGCAUGCUAAAGACACGUUUUCUCACACAAAUACUGCCAUUAUGCCAUUAAGCAUGAGCUCUGUAUUUCUAUGUGUCGUUGCCAGGCAGCUCCCCCAUGCCCUAUAUUUUGUCUUCAUUUAAAGUCUGUGCUAUCAUAGUUAAAAUAUGCAUAGGUGGAACACACAUUAUGUGAGAGCACCAAUGCAGGAAUCAUGUAAAGACCUUUAGGUAUUGAUACAGAAGCGUCACAAUCAUACAUGGUAUCUCCUUCCUCUGUUUUGAUGUGUAUUGCUGUUCAGACUUUUUUUUUUUUUUAAUCUUUUUCUUAAAUCUCUGACGUGGUUUGUCGUUUUUUCACUAUUCUCUUCAGGUGUAUUAGAUUGAAAUGAUACAUUUGAGAAUAGAAAUGAUUGGCAGACUUGCAAUUGUCUGUUGUGUUAAUAAAGCUUUUUUUCAGCACAUCCAUUUCAUCUUUUGUUGGUCUAUUACAUUUUAAAGCAAUGCUUUGUUUAUAGUUUACUUUUACCACAUUUAAAGACUAAAGCUGUUUGGCUGAUCAACACAAGGGGAAAAAAACUCAGCAAUGACUCACCAGUUACAGUGAGCUGAUACAUACGUCAUUAUUUAUUUUAAAUGCAUAAAAGCCACUCCAAUUUGAUUUGAGAUCUGAGAUGGUUAGAGACAACGUUUGCUUGUCAAACUCCGUGUUUAGAAAAAGGCAUUUUGUUUGUUGCUCUUCUUCAUCCCAAUGUGCAAUGAUUGUGUUAUUGUGUGCCCACUGAAUGACCUCCUCGUGUACAUUUGGUACUUCUGCUUGAAGAGUGAUGGAUUGUCCUGUCAUUCCACACACAGGAACAGCAUCUGUAGGAUGAGAGUGAAAUUGAAGAUGAUUCAUUACAUAAAGUAUAUAGAUGAAUACCCACCGGUAAAUAUGUUAACACUACCCAAUGUUUUAAUUGUGUUAUUUUAUUCCACAAAAAUAGUAUUACCUUCUCUAUGAUCUAUUUAAUUACUUCAAAGAAAAGUUAUUAUUAUCUGGUUUCUCUGUGACUUGUAUGUUGAAAACCACCAAAGCCUUGGCUUAAAAGGGUAAGAUGAAGAAAGUCACAACUUAAAGCCGCUUUCCUGAACUUUGGUAGGGAUAGAUUCAAGUAUGCUAUGGAUUCAAGAAACAAAAAUAAUUUGUUGUUUUUACCUUGAGAUGCUAGGGUGCCAGCCAGAAGACAGAGAAUUCCAGCUCCAAUAGCUUUUGGGAGCAUUAUCCCUGUUAGAACAAGUUCAUUGCAGUCACCCAGUCAUACAAAAAGAGGCACAGAUAAAUCACAACUACCUAAAUUCCUGUUACUAUUUCAG
This is a long non-coding RNA of Clupea harengus (Atlantic herring), 9033 nucleotides long. Lineage: Eukaryota; Metazoa; Chordata; Actinopteri; Clupeiformes; Clupeidae. The record is from Ensembl.